AUUGAACGCUGGCGGCAUGCUUUACACAUGCAAGUCGAACGGCAGCGCGGGCUUCGGCCUGGCGGCGAGUGGCGAACGGGUGAGUAAUACAUCGGAACGUGCCCAGUAGUGGGGGAUAGCUCGGCGAAAGCCGGAUUAAUACCGCAUACGACCUGAGGGUGAAAGCGGGGGAUCUUCGGACCUCGCGCUAUUGGAGCGGCCGAUGGCAGAUUAGCUAGUUGGUGGGGUAAAGGCCUACCAAGGCGACGAUCUGUAGCUGGUCUGAGAGGACGACCAGCCACACUGGGACUGAGACACGGCCCAGACUCCUACGGGAGGCAGCAGUGGGGAAUUUUGGACAAUGGGCGAAAGCCUGCUCCAGCAAUGCCGCGUGUGUGAUGAAGGCCUUCGGGUUGUAAAGCACUUUUGGCGGGAACGAAAAGGACUGUGCCAAUACCACGGUUCGAUGACGGUACCCGCAGAAUAAGCACCGGCUAACUACGUG
Molecule: ribosomal RNA, 484 nt
Filed under: uncultured bacterium
Lineage: Bacteria
Description: partial 16S ribosomal RNA
Rfam family: Bacterial small subunit ribosomal RNA
Source: RNAcentral